AUUUGAAGUGCCAAACCAGGAGGCCAGUGACAAGGGAGAUGAGCAGAAAAGCAAUGAUCAGAAUGGCCACAACUACCCUUCGCUUCGGGCCACGCUUCUCCAUCUUCUUGGAGUUCAUGGCAGGGAGGAACUCCACCCCUUCCUCCAGGUUGUUCAUGUCCUGCUGCCGCGCCGUGUACUUCAUGCCGCCGGCGGGCACCGCGGGGCCGCGCUCCAUGCCCAGCGCCGCGGGCUCAGGCCGCCAUGGCGCGGCGCUCCGCGGCCCCUCC
Molecule: long non-coding RNA, 269 nt
Filed under: Gallus gallus (chicken)
Lineage: Eukaryota; Metazoa; Chordata; Aves; Galliformes; Phasianidae
Source: RNAcentral